GCUUUGACGGUCGAAUGGCGUAGUGGUUAGUGAUCCUGACUGCUAUGCCGAAGGUCCCGGGUUCGAUUCCCGGCUGGGGCA
RNAcentral lists this transfer RNA (81 nucleotides) under Plutella xylostella (diamondback moth). RNAcentral's name for it is "tRNA-Ser". The record is from RNAcentral. Lineage: Eukaryota; Metazoa; Arthropoda; Insecta; Lepidoptera; Plutellidae.